This 1335-nucleotide long non-coding RNA is filed under the name Lonchura striata (white-rumped munia). RNAcentral's name for it is "domestica (Bengalese finch) lncRNA (ENSLSDG00000001846.1)". The record is from RNAcentral. Lineage: Eukaryota; Metazoa; Chordata; Aves; Passeriformes; Estrildidae.
UUAGUGGGCGGCGCUCCCGGGGGACGGAUCCGGCAGCUCCAGACAGCACCGCUGGAGUCGGCUCCCCCUCGUCGGUGAGAUACAGUGGGAUUUUUCGUUUCUGUCCUUCCCUUGGGGAUCCCUUGGUUUCUUUUUAUUUGGGCUCCCCCGGCACUCCCCUAACCUUCCCGGUUGAGGGUUUAUUCCCUCUUUGGUUGGGUUUUCUUUUUCCCCUGGGGUGGGGAAAGAAUCCCUUUUCUUUGGUGCCUCCCUUCCCGGGCGGGAGGCUGAAGGCUUAGGGAGAGAGCGGGAGGGACAGUCUUCUCCUUUUAGUUGUUAAUUUUCCCCACUGUACGCUCCGAGGCACAUUUUCCAACCGACAGUAUGGGUGCAAAACUGUCCGUGCCUCAGAAAGGCUUGUAUACCCAAGUUGUGGGCAUCCUGUUAGUGGGGGGGGUUAAAGUUAAGAAAUCUGAGAUAAAAAAGUUUGUCCGGUGGCUGUCGCAGGCUUUUCCCAACGUUUCGGCAGCAAAAUUAUAUCAAAUCCCCUUUUGGGAUCAAGUAGGGAGAGAGAUCUUGCGACAGCAGGAUCUUUCUCUCUCCAAAUUUACUCUAUUGGCUUUACAAAUUAGAGAUAUUAUUAAAAAUCACUAUGAAAGCCUGCCACAGCCAGCCGAAGACAAACCUGUCCCCAGUUCUGCGCUUAGCGCAAAAAAUCCUACUCCUCUUUCCUCUCCCUCUUCCCUAAAGUCGGGCAUUCUCAGACAGUCAUCCCGGCGUCGUCCGCAGGCAGAAUCUGGGCUCUCUGAGAAUGUCCUAGACUCCCCGCGGGGCAGUGCAGGCGCUGCCCGUGCUUCUACCCUUUCCCCUUCUUCCCCGCGAUGUACAGCCCUGUCCCGUAAGAGUUCUGUUCGUUUUAAGGUGCCCCAAAACCCUGAAAAUCCCUCAUCUCCCCUUUCCCCCCGAGCCACACAAAAUGGCUCCCCUUCCCUCUCCCUCCCCAAGGCACAAGAUGGCGGUGACCGCAUGUCUUCUUUUCCCGCCACUUGUGCCUCUUCUUCUUCCCACAAUCCCUUUCUUCCCGCCUCCCGAAGCUCCGCCCCUUCCCCAGACCUUCCCGCCCACGUCCCUCCUCCACCCUACCCUAACCACACCCCCUGUGAUGCGGGGUUCACCCCGCCCCUCAGCUCCACCCCCGGGGAGGGGACCUCCCACCAGGCCACUCCCUCUGCCCCUUGCCACGCCUCUUCCGCUCCGCCCCCUGGUUCCCACGACCUCACUUCCGGUUCCCACGCCAUCGGUUCCGGAAGGGGGGAGCGUGGGAACCCUGAUCCAUCCCAACCCCUACCUGCCUUC